Xiphophorus hellerii (green swordtail) is the source of this 126-nucleotide long non-coding RNA. RefSeq lists it as uncharacterized. The record is from RefSeq and is a predicted model, not a curated record. NCBI's taxonomy places the organism in Eukaryota, Metazoa, Chordata, Actinopteri, Cyprinodontiformes, Poeciliidae. The transcript is spliced from 3 exons.
UGUAAUUGCAGUGUAGUUUUACUCCGCUGUUGUAAAUUCAGUCAAACUGAAUGUCGGUUUCAGUUUUCAGCAACAGUUUCUAUAUUGUGAAGUUUGGUCUUUUCUUGACGAGAGAUCAGAAGAGCG